RNAcentral lists this small RNA (28 nucleotides) under Bombyx mori (domestic silkworm). RNAcentral describes it as "ovarian small RNA-17824". Lineage: Eukaryota; Metazoa; Arthropoda; Insecta; Lepidoptera; Bombycidae. The record is from RNAcentral.
GUGAAGAUUACGGGCCUUGACGAGGGCG